This is a long non-coding RNA of Papaver somniferum (opium poppy), 1023 nucleotides long. RefSeq lists it as uncharacterized. NCBI's taxonomy places the organism in Eukaryota, Viridiplantae, Streptophyta, Magnoliopsida, Ranunculales, Papaveraceae. The record is from RefSeq and is a predicted model, not a curated record. The transcript has 3 exons.
UUUUCCUUCUUUUCUUUUUCCCUUCUUCUUUCUUCUUCAAGUCGAUAGAGGAGAUCGAGAUGGAGCAGAGAAGUUAGGGUUUGUGUCGAAAUUGAAGAAUCAGAGUAUGGGUUUCGAAAUCAUGAAUCCUAAUCUAAAUUUCUGAUUCUAACUCAGAGAAAGAAAGGUGUUGGUUAUGAACCCUUGAGUUGGCCAAUUACAGUUGGGAUUUGAGAAUAAUCGAAAAGGGGAUUUUGAGUGUUUCUUGUUUUGAUAUUUAAGUGACAUCGGGUGGUGGUUAUUACUUUUGAUACACCGACUACCAACUACUUUGAUUAUAGUAUCAUUUUACUUUGAUACAUAGAUUCUUGUAGAUGCAUUGACUUAUGAAGAAUCUUGGUGUGGAAAAAGAAAGUGCGAACAAAAAUUCCUAUUGACUUUUACUUACUCUGGUGCGUGGUGGGUAGAAGCAGAGAGUAAGAGACAAGAUAGAUUCUGAGUAGUUGGAUCUCCCUAUCACUCUUGGAAGCAGUACUGCUGUCACAGAGGAGUGGUGGUUGCAUCAUUUUUAGCAUUCCUCUCUCAAGCAGUGGGAAUCAUUGAACCAGUCAUAUGGCAACCCCUUUAGAAGGCAAAAAUCCACAGUUCCACACUUAGAAGAAUAUUGGUGAUGCAUGGCUGCUGGGAUAACGGAUUCGGAACUCGCCAGCGGCUAGCAUCAGGAUGGGGAAAUGGAAGAAAAUUCAAGAAAAAAAGAAAAAGAAAAAGAAAAAAACGCUCACUCAGGGCUGAAACACGACAUUCUCAAUGUAAUGUUAACGGGCUAAAAAUUAUCAAGUCCCACCACCUAGGAAAAAUCCCUAUCAUUUUGUUUAUUGAACCUAUCCAAGGAAAAAAAAUUUAGUGAUUAUAAGUGAAUGGGAAUUUCUUGUCACAUUGUAAUAAAUAAGACCACUUUUAAGGAAAAUGAGACAUAUGAGCUACCACCAUUUUGUGUAAUUCAUGGCCUGUUUCAAUCAAAUGAGUUGUUAUUUGAUUUAUACA